GUCUACGGCCAUACCACCCUGAACGCUAGUCUGAUCUAGUCUGAUCUUGGAAGCUAAGCAGGGUCGGGCCUGGUUAGUACUUGGAUGGGAGACCACCAAAAUCUUUUACAUAAGUA
RNAcentral lists this ribosomal RNA (116 nucleotides) under Peromyscus maniculatus bairdii (prairie deer mouse). Lineage: Eukaryota; Metazoa; Chordata; Mammalia; Rodentia; Cricetidae. The record is from RNAcentral.